UGGGGGAUAUUGCACAAUGGGGGAAACCCUGAUGCAGCAACGCCGCGUGAGGGAAGAAGGUUUUCGGAUUGUAAACCUCUGACGCAGGUGAAGAUAAUGACGGUAGCCUGAGAGAAAGCUCCGGCUAACUACGUGCCAGCAGCCGCGGUAAUACGUAGGGAGCGAGCGUUGUCCGGAAUUACUGGGUGUAAAGGGUGCGUAGGCGGCAAAGGAAGUCAGGCGUGAAAGGUAAGGGCUUAACCCUUAGAGUGCGCUUGAAACUCUUUUGCUUGAGUGAAGCAGAGGCAGGCGGAAUUCCCGGUGUAGCGGUGAAAUGCGUAGAGAUCGGGAGGAACACCAGUGGCGAAGGCGGCCUGCUGGGCUUUAACUGACGCUGAGGCACGAAAGCGUGGGGAGCAAACA
Molecule: ribosomal RNA, 402 nt
Filed under: uncultured Eubacteriales bacterium
Lineage: Bacteria; Bacillati; Bacillota; Clostridia; Eubacteriales
Description: uncultured Clostridiales bacterium partial 16S ribosomal RNA
Rfam family: Bacterial small subunit ribosomal RNA
Source: RNAcentral